RNAcentral lists this ribosomal RNA (492 nucleotides) under uncultured bacterium. Its description in RNAcentral is "partial 16S ribosomal RNA". It matches the Rfam family "Bacterial small subunit ribosomal RNA", at positions 30 to 507 of the family's 1533-position model. The record is from RNAcentral.
AUUGAACGCUGGCGGCAUGCUUUACACAUGCAAGUCGAACGGUAACAGGCCUUCGGGUGCUGACGAGUGGCGAACGUGUGAGUAAUGCAUCGGAACGUGCCCAGAGGUGGGGGAUAACGCAGCGAAAGCUGUGCUAAUACCGCAUGUGAUCUGAGGAUGAAAGCGGGGGACCAAGCAGCAAUGUUUGGCCUCGCGCCUCUGGAGCGGCCGAUGUCAGAUUAGGUAGUUGGUGGGGUAAAGGCCUACCAAGCCGACGAUCUGUAGCUGGUCUGAGAGGACGACCAGCCACACUGGGACUGAGACACGGCCCAGACUCCUACGGGAGGCAGCAGUGGGGAAUUUUGGACAAUGGGCGCAAGCCUGAUCCAGCAAUGCCGCGUGCGGGAAGAAGGCCUUCGGGUUGUAAACCGCUUUUGUACGGAACGAAAAGGCUCUGGCUAAUACCUGGGGCUGAUGACGGUACCGUAAGAAUAAGCACCGGCUAACUACGUG